CUAGGUUAUGUUACAUAUUGUAUGAUAUGCCUAUUACAGGAGUAGAUUGGUGUGUUGACUGUGUUGAUGUAUAACAGGUUGUUAUGUUGAAUCAGACGUUGUAAACAGUAUUUGUAUGAAGUAGAUUUUAUUUAUUUUUAAGGCACUGGUGGUAUAAUACACUAACAAGUUUAUAAUAGUGUAUUAUUAUGGAUAUCAUUAUUUACUAGGCAGAUUAUUGAAAUCUACCUAAUCAGAAGAUUACAAAUGAGAUCGUCUGUAAGUGUGAUUCUGUCCAGUCCUACGCCGGAUACAAAUAUGUCUCACCCUGACUAUGAUCAAAACGCUCAUGAUCAUGCAACGUUGUUGGUUCUCGUCAAGCAAAUCGGUGAAGAAGUAACUGCAAAGACUUAUAAUAAGAUUUAUGAAAGAAUUGCCAAAGUGACGAAUUUGAAUAUAAUCGACAGUAUUGGUUUUGAAAGAAAUAUAAAGUUAAAGUACGUAAAAGACUACUUGGUUGGCAACAAUGACUGGGGUGAUUUCCAGACUCAUCGCAGGCUUUUUGGACUUGUCACCAUUGGGAAAUGCAGCACACAGGUAGAGCUGAACGAAGUGUGUAGAGUGCAUGAAAGCUUGAAAGUGAAGUACACAAGUACUCUGUACGACUCAAGAUGCAUUAUAAUUGGGGUCAACGAUGGCCCCAACACUCCAUCUUUCCCAACCCCUUCGAACUUCAAGAGUAGAGCAAUAUUUUGUGCAUCUGACGGGGAACUUGACGUACUUGAUUCAGAGAUCUUAGAGUUCCUAUCUACUCUUUUCUGGGUGCUUGAAUCCAAGCGCCAUGAAAGAUGUAGAGAGAAGAUAGACAAAGUUUCACUACUACUGGCACCGUUCGAGAGGAGAGACUUUGUCGGCCUGGAUAUGGAGUCUCGGAGUAACCGCAAGAGAAGCCUCGGCCGCAUGACCAAACAUCUCGGGGACCUGUGUCUGCAGGCAGGCUUGACGGCUGAUGCUCUAACUCACUAUCAGACUGCCAGUGACAUACUGCGCAGCAUUAAUGACUGGCUUUGGCUCGCUGGGGCACUGGAAGGCCAGUGUGCAGCCUCGGCCAUUAUUCACUACCCCAAUAUGUGUAGAUCCUCCCCAGUCAAGAAGAACUCCUCUCUACCUGAGACCCAGCCUAGAUCUAGUCAAGAUGGCAGGACAUCAAAGGAUGUGGAUACCUGUGUUUCAGAAACAAAACGUGUAACAAAUUUAUUAACACCUGACGAUAUUAUUAGAUAUUAUAGAGAAGCAAUCGUUCAUUACAGCAAGUAUCAGAACGCAAAUGUGAUCGAAACAGAAGCGUGCUACAAAGCUGCCAAGCUGGCCAUCCAGCAACACGCCUACCUGCAAGCUGCCAACUUCCUCCACAGUGUCAUUCUCAUCAACCUCGCGUUAAAUGAAGAGGAGAAGAUAGAGCGGCUGAUGAGUCUCUCUGAACUGUACACAAAGAUAGGGUUCCAGCGCAAAGCCUCGUUCUACCGCCGGCUAGCCGCAACUCGCUUCGUGUCUGCUCGGAACCCCCAGACCAACUGGCAACAGUGCUACAAUCUCAUGCUGCAGGCAUUGUCGGGCCACAAGCUGUCUCUGGACCCUGCAGACCACUCUCCUGAUAAACUAGAAGGGUGGCCUGGGCUGCAGAAACAAGUGCUGCAGGAUCUCGUGCUGGCAGCAACACGUGUGGGUCAGUCAGCAGUUGCCACACGACACAUGACGUUCCUGCUGCAGGUGAUGUGGGGACAGCUGACAGCAGCCGAGCGCCACGAGAGUGCGCUGCAGCUACAGUCGUUGGCCGCGCAGUGCGAGGGGGCUCCUGUGCCUCUGGUGCUCGAUUCAGGACUCGUCAUACCACCAGUCAAUCUGGUCAUGGUGCCGACCACAGAAAGCUUUGUUGUACAAAAUCUGAAAUCACAUUUGCGACCUGUAAAGCUAGAAAAGACGAAAGAGAAUUUUGGACCAUUUCUUUUUACCCCAAUUAACUUUGGUUCACUUGAAAGAAAAUCUAAUAAAGCCAGCAACAAAAUAGAUUACUUGUGGGUAGCGGAGGAGUUGUGCGAAGUGAAACUUGAACUGAGCAAUCCUUUCCCCUUUGAGCUGGAAGUGUCUAACAUGAGGCUGCUGACCAGUGGUGCUGUGUUCGAGAGUUUGCCACUGACCCUGACUCUGCCUCCCGACGCCACCAAUGUCGGGGUCACUCUAUCUGGCACUUCCAAGGAAGUGGGUCAACUAGAAAUUACAGGAUACUCAACACAUACUUUAGGAGUAAAAAGCAACUGUCGACUGAAAAACAUACCUAAGAUAGGAGAAUCCAUGUUUUCAGUCGAAGUUAUACCAGCCCUGCCGUUAUUACAGGUUAGUUCCCCACUGCCUACCAAGACUAAUAAUGGAGCCAGCAUUUCUCUCUACGCUGGAGAAAGCGUGGACUCUAGCCUAUUGCUGGAAAAUGUCGGUCAGUUGCCGAUACAGUGGGUGGAGGUGUCGGUGGAGUGUCUACAAGACUCUGAACAGGUGCUAAGGUGGGAUCUGGAGCCAUUAUUAGCACAACUACCUUUACAACCAGGUGCUGCCACUACUCUCCCCCUGCAUUUCUUUGGAGCUGCUAGCUUCUUGUCAUCUUCUAAUCCAGAUACAGCCAGUGUCAAGAGUAGUAUAUUCUCUGCUCCGAGUUCUUUCCUGUCCUCUACCAGCAAUCGGCCUGGGUUUCCUGAUCGCUUCUUGGCUAAAUCAACAACAUCUUCCUUCAAGUCUGGUGGAAGCAGCUUGAAUUCUUUUGGUUCGCAGUUUAGCAAGCUGUGUUUAGAAAACUCACCAAAGGCCCUGCAGUGUCAACUGAAAGUCCGCUACUCCAGUGAUCCGGGAAUGGCAGCCGGCUUCUGCCGUGUCGCCACAUUUCUGUUUUCUAUUGAAAUAAACUGCUCCGUCUUCGUUACGAACUGGGAUGUGAUCCCUGCAGAAACGAGUAGCCAGUUCUAUUUGGUGUUAGAUAUAGCGAACAUGACAAGCCAAGAAUUGGAACUUAAAUAUGGCACAAAUAAGAGUCUAUUGAUGGAAGAAAAUGAAUCUUGCCGCAUCCCAAUUCCAGUUGAACGAUGUCCUCUCACCAAAAUCGGGAAGCUAUUUAAAACGGGAGAAAGUGUGAGUGAUUUAAUGGAGCUGAACAAGUCAUGCAGCAGUCAUAUCGCUGCUCUAGUGGACUUGGAGUGGAGCCUGGUAGCUGGCAGUCGGUGUGGCAAAGCCUCUCUGCACGGCAUCACUCUGUCUCUCAGCAUGCUGGACAUUGUGCGCAUGUCCCCCAUCAGUUGGGAAGUGUCCGUGAAUGGGAGCCUGAUCGAGCCUCACGAAGAACUCAACAGCCAGGUCGGACAGAGUUUACUGUUAGGUUUCAAUAUUCUGAAUUCCCUGUCAUGGCCAUUGCACGACCUUGAGCUCAAAAUUCAGUUUUUUCAAGACCACCAGAAUGGCAUCACCAGCUACCAGCUGGACACUCGUGUCGCUUGCUCGGGUGCUACGUGUGUGCAGCUAGAGGAGGUGGCAGAGUUUGGAAGUGCCUACCACGAAUGUGUUGUAGUGUUCCUAACUCCAGGACAAUACAAAGUCAACAUUCAGUGCACAUCAAAAGAAAAACAUAUAUGGAAACUCAUUCCUCACUUGGUUAUUCAAGUUUCCAAGCCAUAAGCAAUUAAACUCUGGACCUCGUCUGUAGAUGACAAUGUUUAAAUGGUUCAUAAAUUGAAGAGCUAGAAAAGACUUGGAUACAAGGAUGGCCUACAGCAUUAUUUUUCUAUGUAUUAUAUUGUUAUAGUUUAGUAUUUUAUUUUUUUGUUAUUCAAAUGUUUUUAUAAAUAAAUAUUGAGGAGGUCUAUGUCAAAAUGAGGAGAUGAAUAUUCAAAUGCCAUUUUGAAGAAUAGUACUUGUUAAAGUACAGGGUUUGUACCUAAAACCAAGGUAUAAUAGUUUUAAAAUUAGUAAUAUUAAAUCAGUACAUUUUAUAUCAAAAUAAACAAAAGUAUUAAGUAACUUGAGAAAUUGUAAAAAACAAGGUAAAGUAAAAAACCCUUGCACACAUCCUUUUUAAGACGUGGUGUUAGCUAUGAAUUUGUACACCCUUUUUGCAUAGACAGGUAACUAUAGUGUACAUAAUUUGUUUGUAAACUGAAAAAGCAUAAAAAUAUGUUAUUGUGCUUUUAAAGAACACAUGAGGAAUAAUCAAUUCUUCGUCAGAAGUUUGAUUUUCCAGACAUUUGCCAUUGUUCUGUGAUACAAAAAAUUAGUAACUCUUUUUAUACCAAAAAAUAAGUAAAACUAUUUUCAAAAUCUGAAACCUAAUUUCCUCCUCAGAUGAAUAACUAACACAUAACACUAUAAUCUAGGUUAAAAUUUAAAAAAAUAAUACCAAAGCGUUGUGAUACGCAUAAGUCAGGAAUGAUAACAACCACGAUGGUGUUAACUCCAUGCACACUAACUCUAAAACAUGCACUAAAUAAACACCCAAAUGGCAAACGUCCGGAAAAAUCCUGUUUCUUUCAUAAUAAUCAAUAUAUUUAUUUACAUCUUCUUUGUCAAUUCUUUACUUACAUUGAACAUGUUGAGUGUGUAACCAAACUCAAAAUUAAUUUACAUUGAAAUAACAGUGUAGAACAAUUAAUUUGAAAACCAAACUACUGCCAAGGGUUGAUUUUGGUUCAAGUCAAUUGAAAUGUCUUUUAGUUUGACUUGUACAAAAGGAAUGUAUGAACUAAAGUAAGUGGUCACAGUUGCAAGUCUGCCUGAAAAUGGAAAACCUUUUUGAUCCUGUGGCUUUGCAGACAUCACUGUUUUAAGUUGUGUGACUACUUUUAGGUGACUGUAGUGGUAUGAUUUAUAAUAAAUGGAGUAGAAUACUUGUGAUAAUUCACUGAUGUUCACUAACGCUUGAAAUCCCAUAUGUAACAUCAUCAAACUCAAUGUCGCAUAUAUAAAAAUAAAGCUUCGCUGACACUUAGCCAAUAAAUAAGAACAUACACUCAAUGAUACUAAAUGUGAUUACAACCAAAACAAAACAUUACCUUAUUCAAUGUAGCAUGCCAUUUUCAAAGAUAUUCAAAUGAAAUUUUGCAUAAAUGUACACAAAAACAGUAAAAUGUAAUCUGUCAUCUCUCUAAUAAAGGUGAAUGCUAGUAUAUGCUUUUUUACAUAGGCCUUCUCAAUUAUGAAGUUUAUACAUUAAAUUUUGUUUUUUAAAA
Molecule: unclassified non-coding RNA, 5243 nt
Filed under: Homalodisca vitripennis (glassy-winged sharpshooter)
Lineage: Eukaryota; Metazoa; Arthropoda; Insecta; Hemiptera; Cicadellidae
Description: protein brunelleschi, transcript variant X1
Source: RNAcentral